GCAGCAGGCGCGAAACCUCUGCAAUAGGCGAAAGCUUGACAGGGUUACUCUGAGUGAUUUUCGCUAAGAAAAUCUUUUGGCACCUCUAAAAAUGGUGCAGAAUAAGGGGUGGGCAAGUCUGGUGUCAGCCGCCGCGGUAAUACCAGCACCCCGAGUGGUCGGGACGAUUAUUGGGCCUAAAGCAUCCGUAGCCGGUCCCACAAGUCCUCCGUUAAAUCCAACUGCUUAACAGAUGGGCCGCGGAGGAUACUAUGGGGCUAGGAGGCAGGAGAGGCAAGCGGUACGCAGUGGGUAGGGGUAAAAUCCGUUGAUCCACUGAAGACCACCAGUGGCGAAGGCGGCUUGCCAGAAUGCGCUCGACGGUGAGGGAUGAAAGCUGGGGGAGCAAACCGGAUUAGAUACCCGGGUUGUCCCAGCCCGUAAACGAUGCAGACUCGGUGAUGGACUGG
This 449-nucleotide ribosomal RNA is filed under the name uncultured crenarchaeote. RNAcentral describes it as "bacterial SSU rRNA". It matches the Rfam family "Archaeal small subunit ribosomal RNA", at positions 332 to 782 of the family's 1478-position model. Lineage: Archaea; Thermoproteati; Thermoproteota. The record is from RNAcentral.